RNAcentral lists this ribosomal RNA (497 nucleotides) under uncultured bacterium. Its description in RNAcentral is "partial 16S ribosomal RNA". It matches the Rfam family "Bacterial small subunit ribosomal RNA", at positions 28 to 507 of the family's 1533-position model. The record is from RNAcentral.
GAUGAACGCUGGCGGCGUGCCUAAUACAUGCAAGUCGAGCGAACAGACGAGGAGCUUGCUCCUCUGACGUUAGCGGCGGACGGGUGAGUAACACGUGGAUAACCUACCUAUAAGACUGGGAUAACUUCGGGAAACCGGAACUAAUACCGGAUAAUAUAUUGAACCGCAUGGUUCAAUAGUGAAAGACGGUUUUGCUGUCACUUAUAGAUGUAUCCGCGCCGCAUUAGCUAGUUGGUAAGGUAACGGCUUACCAAGGCGACGAUGCGUAGCCGACCUGAGAGGGUGAUCGGCCACACUGGAACUGAGACACGGGCCAGACUCCGACGGGAGGCAGCAGUAGGGAAUCUUCCGCAAUGGGCGAAAGCUUGACGGAGCAACGCCGCGUGAGUGAUGAAGGUCUUCGGAUCGUAAAACUCUGUUAUUAGGGAAGAACAAAUGUGUAAGUAACUAUGCAAGUCUUGACGGUACCUAAUCAGAAAGCCACGGCUAACUACGUG